Amblyraja radiata (thorny skate) is the source of this 122-nucleotide small nuclear RNA. The record is from RefSeq and is a predicted model, not a curated record. Lineage: Eukaryota; Metazoa; Chordata; Chondrichthyes; Rajiformes; Rajidae.
AUUACGUAUGAAAGGAGAGAAGGCUAGCACUCCCCUCGAUAAGGAUGGAAAGGGCCCUCGUGGCCUUACAGCAUUGGUUGAGGCAUUGCCAUCUACUUAGUUGCAUCUAACCAAGUCUUUGG